UGGGGAAUUGUUCGCAAUGGGCGCAAGCCUGACGACGCAACGCCGCGUGGAGGAUGAAGACUUUCGGGUCGUAAACUCCUUUCGACCGAGAUGAAUUCCUGCCGACCCAACACGUCGGCGGGGUGACAGUAUCGAGGGAAGAAGCCCCGGCUAACUCCGUGCCAGCAGCCGCGGUAAUACGGGGGGGGCAAGCGUUGUUCGGAAUUACUGGGCGUAAAGGGUUCGUAGGUGGCCUGCUAAGUCACACGUGAAAUCCCUCAGCUUAACUGGGGAACUGCGUGUGAGACUGGCGGGCUUGAGUGCAGGAGAGGAACGCGGAAUUCCAGGUGUAGCGGUGAAAUGCGUAGAUAUCUGGAGGAACACCGGUGGCGAAGGCGGCGUUCUGGACUGCAACUGACACUGAGGAACGAAAGCCAGGGGAGCGAAACGGGAUUAGAUACCCCGGUAGUCCUGGCCCUAAACGAUGAAUGCUUGGUGUGGC
RNAcentral lists this ribosomal RNA (481 nucleotides) under uncultured Acidobacteriota bacterium. Its description in RNAcentral is "bacterial SSU rRNA". It matches the Rfam family "Bacterial small subunit ribosomal RNA", at positions 355 to 826 of the family's 1533-position model. The record is from RNAcentral. Lineage: Bacteria; Pseudomonadati; Acidobacteriota.